Long non-coding RNA from Lagenorhynchus albirostris (white-beaked dolphin), 1056 nucleotides. RefSeq lists it as uncharacterized. The transcript has 2 exons. The record is from RefSeq and is a predicted model, not a curated record. Lineage: Eukaryota; Metazoa; Chordata; Mammalia; Artiodactyla; Delphinidae.
CCUCCUGAUGACCAGGAGAGAAGUCAUACUCUCAGAAGCAGACUGGUAUCUUUAAAAAUCCACAGGACAAUAAAAAUGCUGUGGAACAUCAAAAAUGUGCUAGGAUGAAAAGAAUGAUACCGAAAACCCUAUCUGCUGAUAAUUAUUUUCUUCUACAGCACCGAUCUUGGUUUCCUCUUGUAUUAAAUGGUCCAGGAAAAUUGCUUUAAAAAGACUCCUGGCAGCCUCUUCUUUCUGCCUACUCUGAAGUCUCCUUCUUGUGUCAUGAAAUGAGCUCCUUUGUCUGUGGCUCAUCUUCUUAUGUGGCACCACCCAGAUUUCUGCUUCUGCCCUCUUCCCAUAUCAUGGAGGAUGUAAGAGUCCGUUUUGGAAAGAGACUGUGGCAAUUCAGGAUAUGUUGUUUGGAAAGAUAAAAGAUAGCAAGCACAACUGAAGUACGUAAAAUGCAACUUCAUAAUUCCAUCUUCUAGAGGACUCCCAUCCAAUCCCACCAUUACACAGCAUCACCUUCUUUGGAUGAAGACCGGCCUUUGGUGUAGUUGGUGGUGGUUCAUUUCGCUUGUUCCACGAUCUCUUCUGUUCCACAUUAUUAUACAGUAACCACUUUUCAUCGCCCAUCAUAAUUUGUUUUAAAAACGGAACAGUUUUGUUACAUUUCAAUAGAGAAUUGCAUGUGGAAAUACAGUCAAAAAAGUUUUUUUUCACUUAACUUAUGUGGAACCCAAACAUCAAAGCCAUUAACAUAACCAAGCUGGUGCAAAUAAUUUUCAACACUUGAUUUGGAUAUUUUGAGUAUGUCAGCUGUCUCCUGCGUGGUAUAACGUUGAUUGUUCUCAAUUAAUGUCUCGAUUUGGUCACUAUCAACUUCAACUGGUCUACCCAACCAUGGAGCAUCGUCCAGCGAGCAAUCUCCAGCACAAAACUUCACAAACCACUUUUUUUGACACGUUUGAUCUGUCACAGCACAUUCUCCAUACACUGCAUAAUUUUUUUUUCUUUUUUGUGUUUCAGUUGUGUUUUUACCUUGCUUGAAAUAAUAAAGCAUAAUAUGCUGAA